GGGUUGUGAGGUUAAGCGACUAAGCGUACACGGUGGAUGCCCUGGCAGUCAGAGGCGAUGAAGGACGUGCUAAUCUGCGAUAAGCGUCGGUAAGGUGAUAUGAACCGUUAUAACCGGCGAUUUCCGAAUGGGGAAACCCAGUGUGAUUCGUCACACUAUCAUUAACUGAAUCCAUAGGUUAAUGAGGCGAACCGGGGGAACUGAAACAUCUAAGUACCCCGAGGAAAAGAAAUCAACCGAGAUUCCCCCAGUAGCGGCGAGCGAACGGGGAGCAGCCCAGAGCCUGAAUCAGUGUGUGUGUUAGUGGAAGCGUCUGGAAAGGCGUGCGAUACAGGGUGACAGCCCCGUACACAAAAAUGCACAUACUGUGAGCUCGAUGAGUAGGGCGGGACACGUGGUAUCCUGUCUGAAUAUGGGGGGACCAUCCUCCAAGGCUAAAUACUCCUGACUGACCGAUAGUGAACCAGUACCGUGAGGGAAAGGCGAAAAGAACCCCGGCGAGGGGAGUGAAAAAGAACCUGAAACCGUGUACGUACAAGCAGUGGGAGCACGCUUAGGCGUGUGACUGCGUACCUUUUGUAUAAUGGGUCAGCGACUUAUAUUCUGUAGCAAGGUUAACCGAAUAGGGGAGCCGAAGGGAAACCGAGUCUUAACUGGGCGUUAAGUUGCAGGGUAUAGACCCGAAACCCGGUGAUCUAGCCAUGGGCAGGUUGAAGGUUGGGUAACACUAACUGGAGGACCGAACCGACUAAUGUUGAAAAAUUAGCGGAUGACUUGUGGCUGGGGGUGAAAGGCCAAUCAAACCGGGAGAUAGCUGGUUCUCCCCGAAAGCUAUUUAGGUAGCGCCUCGUGAAUUCAUCUCCGGGGGUAGAGCACUGUUUCGGCAAGGGGGUCAUCCCGACUUACCAACCCGAUGCAAACUGCGAAUACCGGAGAAUGUUAUCACGGGAGACACACGGCGGGUGCUAACGUCCGUCGUGAAGAGGGAAACAACCCAGA
This 999-nucleotide ribosomal RNA is filed under the name Shigella flexneri. RNAcentral's name for it is "partial 23S ribosomal RNA". It matches the Rfam family "Bacterial large subunit ribosomal RNA", at positions 1 to 1031 of the family's 2925-position model. The record is from RNAcentral. Lineage: Bacteria; Pseudomonadati; Pseudomonadota; Gammaproteobacteria; Enterobacterales; Enterobacteriaceae.